RNA transcript from Sapajus apella (tufted capuchin), 2141 nucleotides. It is a transcript of the gene named ubiquitin carboxyl-terminal hydrolase 46 pseudogene, with no coding region annotated. The transcript has a single exon. The record is from RefSeq and is a predicted model, not a curated record. Lineage: Eukaryota; Metazoa; Chordata; Mammalia; Primates; Cebidae.
UGUCCCUUGUGAAGAUGGCGGUGAGGGAUCGCUGCAACCUUUAGACUAAUGACGGUCCGAAACAUCGCCUCCAUCUGUAAUAUGGGCACCAACGCCUCUGCUCUGGAAAAAGACAUUGGUUCAGAGCAGUUUCCAAUCAGUGAACACUAUUUCGGAUUGGUCAAUUUUGGAAACACAUGCUACUGUAACUCUGUGCUUCAGGUGUUGCACUUCUGCCCGCCCGUUCCAGGAGAAUGUGUUGGCAUACAAGGCCCAGCAAAAGAAGAAGGAAAACUUGCUGACGUGCCUGGCGGACCUUUUCCACAGCCCUGCCACGCAACCUUCAAGAAGAAGGUUGGCGUCAUCCCACCAAAGAAGUUCGUUUCAAGGCUGAGAAAAGAGAAUGAUCUCUUUGAUAACUACAUGCAGAAGGAUGCUCAUGAAUUUUUAAAUUAUUUGCUAAACACUAUUGCGGAUAUCCUGCAGGAGGAGAAGAAACAGGAAAAACAAAACGGAAAAUUUAAAAAUGGCAACAUGAACAAACCUGCGGAAAAUAAUAAACCAGAACUCACCUGGAUCCAUGAGAUUUUUCGGGGAACGCUCACCAAUGAAACUCGAUGCUUGAACUGUGAAACUGUUAGUAGCAAAGAUGAAGAUUUUCUUGAACUUUCUGUUGAUGUGGAGCAGAAUACAUCCAUUAUCCACUGUCUAAGAGACUUCAGCAACACAGAAACACUGUGUAGUGAACAAAAACAUUAUUGUGAAACAUGCUGCAGCAAACAGGAAGCCCAGAAAAGGAUGAGAGUAAAAAAGCUGCCCGUGAUCUUGGUCCUGCAUCUAAAGCGGUUCAAGUACAUGGAGCAGCUGCACAGAUACACCAAGCUGUCUUACCGCGUGGUCUUCCCUCUGGAGCUCUGGCUCUUCGACACCUCCAGUGAUGCAGUGAACCUGGACCGCAUGUAUGACCUGGUUGCUGUGGUUGUUCACGGUGGCAGUGGUCCUAGUCGUGGGCAUUAUAUCACUAUUGUGAAAAGUCACGGCUUCUGGCUUUUGUUUGAUGAUGACAUUGUAGAGAAAAUAGAUGCGCAAGCUGUUGAAGAAUUCUAUGGCCUGACAUCAGAUAUAUCAAAAAAUUCAGAAUCUGGAUAUAUUUUAUUCUAUCAGUCAAGAGAGUAACUUAAAAGAACUGUGGGACUAAUUCAAGUGGGGGGAAAUGUUCAAAGCACUAUUACCUGUUUUCUCUGCAGUCUUUCUUCUUCCCUAGUGGCCCACUAAUAGUAUCACUCCAAGUCUCAAUGGUCUGGCUGUGUUAGACUCUCUCCUUUUCUGUUUUUACAUGCAACACUACUCUUGGUUUUAUUUCGGUCUGAGGUAGAGUUAACUGCAAUCAGAUUGUAGUCAGAUUUAUAUGAAUAACAGUUGCUGAUUUUAGGAUUGGGUGAAAGCUAUGCCAUUCGUUAUGUCUGGCUGUAUUAGAAUGACAUUUCCUAUGAGUGUCUACAGUCUAUUUUAAGCGUUUGCUAAACUCCUAGGGCUUCCAGGGUCUUCUUACAAUGUAAUCCUUUAACUUGUCCCUGGAAGCAUUGCUACCCAUUUUCAACUCCUCUGCCUCUUUUCUGAUACAAGGACAGAAGAAUUGGGUAGAUAAUGACCUUUUAGGGUUGCAACUAUAGCUUUAAUAUUGUGCAAGUGGAAAUGUUGAAAAGUGAGUGACCUCGAUACUAAAAUCAUCCUCAACACGGAACAGGGUGAAGAGAGGCUGUCCGUGGUGGCUGGUGCUGGCUGGCAUUGGCACUGGGCUGUGCUGACCUUGCUGUUAGAAUUCCAGGGGUUAAGAAGGCUCAGGGCGGGCAAAGCCAAAAGGCAGAAAUUUUUGUGGACAAUGAAAAGUUACUUUUUGUAACUUUCUACCAAAACCAAGUUUCAGGAAAAUAACUCUAUGCUGUUUAUUUUCAGGCACACUUCUUCUGUAAGGCCCUGUGAGUUGUGUUUAUUCUGUAUCCAGCACUGUAAGCUUUUCAAGGUAUCUUUCCACUCCUGCUGAUGUGUGCAGUCAGUGGCUGCCGGGCUGGCAAACCUCCCCUUAGCCAGUCAGCACCGACAUUGUUCCUUAUCGGGAAUAGCAAAGGCACUGCAUCUUUCCAGCCAUCAGCACAUUGUAC